UUAAAAGCGAUGAAGAGAAAAGUAAGUUUACUGGUAACGUACAGAGAGCUCUGGAGACUGAAAUAGGGCCGCAAAAGCAAACUGAAAAUCACUUGGAGCUAUAUGGUGAAUUAAAGUAACCAUUAUUGGUAACACCCAUUAUUGUGUUAGCGUAUCGCAUAUUGCCGUACGUGAAGUGAUUGGUUAAAUUAAUUUGAGAUAAUUUGCCAGUAAAAAAGGUGGUACCGUGCCAAUUAAAGCACCCUGAAU
This 249-nucleotide non-coding RNA is filed under the name Lactobacillus sp. Its description in RNAcentral is "T-box sequence". It matches the Rfam family "T-box leader". From Rfam's summary of the family: Uncharged tRNA acts as the effector for transcription antitermination of genes in the T-box leader family. T-boxes are found upstream of many aminoacyl-tRNA synthetase genes and some amino acid biosynthetic genes usually in Gram-positive bacteria. Lineage: Bacteria; Bacillati; Bacillota; Bacilli; Lactobacillales; Lactobacillaceae. The record is from RNAcentral.